GGGGAAUAUUGCACAAUGGGCGCAAGCCUGAUGCAGCAACGCCGCGUGAGGGAUGACGGCCUUCGGGUUGUAAACCUCUUUUAGUAGGGAAGAAGCCUUUCGGGGUGACGGUACCUGCAGAAAAAGCACCGGCUAACUACGUGCCAGCAGCCGCGGUAAUACGUAGGGUGCAAGCGUUGUCCGGAAUUAUUGGGCGUAAAGAGCUCGUAGGCGGCUUGUCGCGUCUGCCGUGAAAACCUCAGGCUCAACCUGGGGCGUGCGGUGGGUACGGGCAGGCUAGAGUGCGGUAGGGGAGAUUGGAAUUCCUGGUGUAGCGGUGGAAUGCGCAGAUAUCAGGAGGAACACCGAUGGCGAAGGCAGAUCUCUGGGCCGCUACUGACGCUGAGGAGCGAAAGCAUGGGGAGCGAAC
RNAcentral lists this ribosomal RNA (409 nucleotides) under uncultured bacterium. Its description in RNAcentral is "bacterial SSU rRNA". It matches the Rfam family "Bacterial small subunit ribosomal RNA", at positions 356 to 773 of the family's 1533-position model. The record is from RNAcentral.